CUUUCUAAGCUCCAUCUGACAGUUUAACUGUCAGGCUCUAACUUUUAACUGCCUCCAGAAUGGAUGACACACCACCUGGGUCUGAUCGCUUCUGGGUCUUCAAGAGGCAGACCCAAGGUCCGUCCAUCACACUCCAAUUAACAUUACACUAUUUGUGUUUUAAUAGGCCUGAGUUUCAAUAAGUCUGCCAAAGAGCUUGCUUUGCCUGUGUUUAAUGGAUUUUUUAUACUAUUUUAAUUCUAUUAGUGUUUAAUUACACCUUUUCUAUGUUUUUAGCUUGUUCUGUUUUAUCUGUGGGAAAGACAUGAUGAUGAUGAUGAUGAUGAUGAUGAUGUGUUUUAUAAUGAUGAUGAUGAUGAUGAUGAUGUGUUUUAGAAGAUGUGACCAACAUAACAUAUUUAUAUUAAUUUAUUAAAUAAAUAUAACAGUAGUGGUAGCAGUGAUUGGGGUAGUAGUAGUAGUAAUAACAACCACAAGAAUGUAUCUGUAACUUGGAUUACUAUUUCCUCUUGCAGCUCUAUGUGCUUUUCAAAACUUUGAUUAAUUCUACUAUAACCACUUUUGAUAAAGGUCCUUUAGAAAAGUUAAAUCUGUGUGUGUACUCUUUCUGUCUCUCUAUGAGGAAUAGAAGUGACCAGCAGCACUUCCUCAAAAAUCCAAAAACAUCCACAGGCCUAAAUAGGUUGGUGAUCCCUGCAAUGAAGUGUUUAAUUAAUCACUUUGCCUGCCUAGGCUUCUGUUGGUCUGUGCAGUUUCAUACACAUGUCUGCCAGAAUACAGUAACCAAAUGGCUUAGGGGGAUCCAUUAAUUAGUGUGAUCUUUUAGCAGAGUAAGGCCGAGUAAGGCCAAGGAGUUGUACGCACAGCCAGUUUUAAUGACUUUGCAUGAUCUGCCCCAAAGAAUAAUUCCAGAAAACCUACGUCAUGCCAAUCAUUUAAAAAAUGACAUUGCAUCUAUAAAAAUGAAUGAUUCUGGCAUUUGAUUAUUUAUAAUAUUUGGAGGGCGGAAACAAUGUCAGUCUAAUGUCCAUUACAAAGCACUGCAAUAUGUUAAAGCACUGCUGUUGCAACCUUUCACAUUAUGACACCCAUGAAAGAAGAGGAACUCUGACAUUUGAAAGGAAACGACCAGCUGCAGGUGUACAGCUGAAGCCAACCAUUAUUCAUUCUACUACCAAAGAUGACCCUCCAACACUACUGUUAUUUUUUCAAACUAUAUUAUAAUCAGGACAGCAAGGAUUAAUGCUGUUUGAUUGCAAGGUCAUCCCAUAGGCAGGUGCUAGAUAAUAUUUGUCCACCCACACACACACAGCCACAGUCCUCUUCAACUUCCUUCCUGUUACAGCUCAGAAUCAGAAAUUAAUCAUUUAGAAUUGUAUUAUACUGUUUGCUGACGUGUUCUUUUUCCUUUCUUCAAUUGGAGAUUAGGGGAGAUUAUGCAGUAAUAUAAGCAAACCGGUUUUUUUUAAUACUGGGUAGAGCUACCUGUUCAUUUCCAGCACCAUUGUAAUCGAAAGCUGGUAGAUCUGUUCCCAUUGACUACAGAUUUAGGGUACAGCCAAAGUGGUCUUUGACAUGACUGGAAGCACUGCCAGCCAGUUGGGCCAGUCACUGUUAGGAGGGUGUAUAUGUCACUUCCUGCCAGUUUGCAUAGGGUUGGUGGGACUUCCUAAAAUGUUCAAAGUAAUUGUCACACAGCUCUAAUUAUGGAGCUCAGUCCUUCCAUUUCAGUACCUCUUAGACUCACAACGGGUUGACUCCAAUUAGCUUCUACUCAGAAGUAGACCCAUUGAAAUUAAUGGAUCUUAGUUAGUUAUAGCCAUUAAUUUCAGUGGGUAAACUCUGAAUGUGACUAACUUUGCAAACAAUGCAAGUGCAACAGAAGAAAGAGAAGAUAGUGAGACAGGAGGAUUAACCUAAAAAUAAAUAAUAAAAAAACAGAUGUGUUUUCGAUUCAAUGCCCUUUCAAAAUGUGUUUGGUGGGGUUUACUGGGUUGUUCUUGUUUUUGUUUUUAUUAUGUAUUUUGUGUUUUUAUAUUGUGAUUUUGUCCUGUGAAUCGUCCUGAGACCUGCAGGUAUAGGGUGGUAUACAAAAUAUAAUAAUAAUAAUAAUAAUAAUAAUAAUAAUAAUAAUAGUUUCAGCUUUUUGCUUCCUGAAAUGGAUCCUAAAUUGUACGCAGUCAAACAUACACACAUGCCUGAAACAGAAACCAAAUGCUAAUUCCCUGCUAUGGAAAAUGCUUUAAAAGAUCUUGCUGCACCAUUCAGGCUGCAGUCCUGAACAUAUUUAUUGGGAGUAAGCCCAAUUUAAUACAUUAAGAUUUCAUUCUAAGUAAAAAUGAAUGGGAUUGUAUUAUUAUUAUUAUUAUUAUUAUUAUUAUUAUUAUUAUUAUACAUUUGUAUAAUUUUGUAUUUCAGUAUACUAAAUUUCAGCUGAUGCAGGUAUGAAAGGGUAAACCCAAUUGCAGACCAAAACUAUUCUGGCAUUUGAUUUUUAGCAGUGUCAGCACAGAGACUCCUAUCUUCCCAUACAAUGGAGCUCUAAUGGCUAGUGUGCACUACCACUGGCUGUGUGCGCCAUUUUGUUCUCUUUGCUUAUGGCAGUAUAUGAUGGCAUUGGGCUUGUCCAACUUUCUUCUGCAGUUGUAUGCAACAUUCAGCUUCUGCUCAUGGUAGAGAAUCAUCCCCCAUUUUCAGGCUGGUUCCACAACAGAGGAAAGUAUGUUGUAGUCAUUAGAGUAUGGCUGGAGCCAAUGAGAAUGGCUCCCACCACUUCAGAAUGCACACUAAUGCAUGGAAGAAUCAAACUGGCAGUACAAGAAGCUCAUGUGCUGUCCUAUCCUUUAUGAGGCUGAUGUUUCUUCCUGAUUUCCCAAGCUUACUUGAAACUUCUAAGGUAACACAGAUUAGGAUCCCAGUCUUUACAUAGGAAUAUAAUAUCAACUUGAUUGGGUCAACCAAAAUCCUGUCAUCCAAAACUGAGAAUACUGGUUGCUGAGAGGAAGCAUGCAAUAAAAAAACCAGCAUGUUCCAAUUUCUGUCCUUCGCUCUGAGCAUUUGGCAGUCUAAUGCUUAGAGGUGUUUUCAUCAAGGUGUCCAAAGCCACAAGCCUUCAGGUUCAAACAGAGCCACAUCAGAGCCCACCAGAGCACCUGGAAAUUGCCAGAGAUGGCAUGAAGGGAAGGCUUCCCCUAAACUGUGCAAUCCAGCUGAAAUGUGCACUUAGACUUUGACCCAUGAUGAACAGUGAGAUGGAAAAAGAAAGCAUGUUGCAGAAGAAAUUAAACCUUAAGCAGUUCUUAAAUAACUAGAUGAUGCUGAAGCUAAGGAAAUAUGCUCAAUUUAAAUAAUGCUUCUUUAAGUUAUUGUUUUAAAAUGUUUACACUUCGUUCUGCCCUGUAGCUGUAAAUAAGAAAGAACUUUCAGGCCACCAGACUUUUAAAAGUUUGGAAGUUUAGCCAAGAGAGUAUAUCGGACAAGGUAGUUUUCUAUGCACAUUACAGGCAAUGGCCAGGAAAUGAAACACCUGUGGAAGGCCAGACCCCUUUUUCUUCUUCUUUUUUUGCUGAAGGCAUAGGGAUGGCAUGGAAAUUAAUUUAGCUUGUAUUUUUAUGCAGAUUUGCCAAAUUCACCCUUCCUGAAAAAGUGCCCCAAUCCUUUAAAAUUCAGACCUCUCUGAAUUUUGUAAUGUGUUUCUCCUACUUAAUGUGUGAAUUAAGAAAGAGCAGAGGGCCAGCUUAGAGCUUGGGAAAGGACUUCUGAUUUUGGCAGGAUUUGUUGUGGACAGGAGUGCUAUGUGCCUCUGCCAUGCUUACCUUCCAUAUUUUUGAAUACAGUAAAUCCAAGCAUGAAAAACUGCUGCAGCUCUCCAGUGACCCUUCUUGCUGAAAGGAACCCAGUCUAGAUAAGCACUCUCUCUCUGAAGCUUAUUUCUACCUAGGGACAGUGAAGCAAUAUGUCAGCGACUAUCUGGGC
Podarcis lilfordi (Lilford's wall lizard) is the source of this 3975-nucleotide non-coding RNA. NCBI's taxonomy places the organism in Eukaryota, Metazoa, Chordata, Lepidosauria, Squamata, Lacertidae. The record is from the annotation of a GenBank genome assembly.